This 373-nucleotide ribosomal RNA is filed under the name uncultured organism. Its description in RNAcentral is "partial 16S ribosomal RNA". It matches the Rfam family "Bacterial small subunit ribosomal RNA", at positions 527 to 896 of the family's 1533-position model. The record is from RNAcentral.
GUAGGUGGCAAGCGUUGUCCGGAAUUAUUGGGCGUAAAGCGCGCGCAGGCGGUUCUUUAAGUCUGAUGUGAAAGCCCACGGCUCAACCGUGGAGGGUCAUUGGAAACUGGAGAACUUGAGUACAGAAGAGGAAAGCGGAAUUCCACGUGUAGCGGUGAAAUGCGUAGAGACGUGGAGGAACACCAGUGGCGAAGGCGGCUUUCUGGUCUGUAACUGACGCUGAGGCGCGAAAGCGUGGGGAGCAAACAGGGAUUAGAUACCCUGGUAGUCCACGCCGUAAACGAUGAGUGCUAAGUGUUAGGGGGGUUUCCGCCCCCUUAGUGCUGCAGCUAACGCAUUAAGCACUCCGCCUGGGGAUACGGCCGCAAGGCUG